Molecule: transfer RNA, 73 nt
Filed under: Camelus bactrianus (Bactrian camel)
Lineage: Eukaryota; Metazoa; Chordata; Mammalia; Artiodactyla; Camelidae
Also listed under: 2 other names
Rfam family: tRNA
About the family: Transfer RNA (tRNA) molecules are approximately 80 nucleotides in length. Their secondary structure includes four short double-helical elements and three loops (D, anti-codon, and T loops).
Source: Rfam by way of RNAcentral
GAGGAUAUAGCUCAAGUGGGAGAGUGCAUGAUUAGCAUGCAUGAGAUCUUGGGUUCAAUCCCCAGUAUCUCCA